GACGAACGCUGGCGGCGUGCCUAAUACAUGCAAGUCGAGCGCAGGAAGCUGACGGAACUCUUCGGAGGGAAGGCAGUGGAAUGAGCGGCGGACGGGUGAGUAACACGUAAGGAACCUGCCUCAAGGAUUGGGAUAACUCCGAGAAAUCGGAGCUAAUACCGGAUAGUUCAACGGACCGCAUGGUCCGGUGAUGAAAGGCGCUUCGGCGUCACCUUGAGAUGGCCUUGCGGUGCAUUAGCUAGUUGGUGGGGUAACGGCUCACCAAGGCGACGAUGCAUAGCCGACCUGAGAGGGUGAUCGGCCACACUGGGACUGAGACACGGCCCAGACUCCUACGGGAGGCAGCAGUAGGGAAUCUUCCACAAUGGACGAAAGUCUGAUGGAGCAACGCCGCGUGAGUGAUGAAGGUUUUCGGAUCGUAAAACUCUGUUGUAAGGGAAGAACACGUACGAGAGGGAAUGCUCGUACCUUGACGGUACCUUACGAGAAAGCCACGGCUAACUACGUG
This 508-nucleotide ribosomal RNA is filed under the name uncultured bacterium. RNAcentral's name for it is "partial 16S ribosomal RNA". It matches the Rfam family "Bacterial small subunit ribosomal RNA", at positions 28 to 507 of the family's 1533-position model. The record is from RNAcentral.